CUCCUACGGGACGCAGCAGUGGGGAAUAUUGCACAAUGGGGGGAACCCUGAUGCAGCGACGCCGCGUGAGUGAAGAAGUAUUUCGGUAUGUAAAGCUCUAUCAGCAGGGAAGAAAAUGACGGUACCUGACUAAGAAGCCCCGGCUAACUACGUGCCAGCAGCCGCGGUAAUACGUAGGGGGCAAGCGUUAUCCGGAUUUACUGGGUGUAAAGGGAGCGUAGACGGCAGAGCAAGUCUGAAGUGAAAGCCCGCGGCCCAACU
RNAcentral lists this ribosomal RNA (261 nucleotides) under uncultured bacterium. Its description in RNAcentral is "partial 16S ribosomal RNA". It matches the Rfam family "Bacterial small subunit ribosomal RNA", at positions 336 to 614 of the family's 1533-position model. The record is from RNAcentral.